Long non-coding RNA from Passer domesticus (house sparrow), 650 nucleotides. RefSeq lists it as uncharacterized. The transcript is spliced from 2 exons. NCBI's taxonomy places the organism in Eukaryota, Metazoa, Chordata, Aves, Passeriformes, Passeridae. The record is from RefSeq and is a predicted model, not a curated record.
CAGCCUGUAACCAUGCCCUGAUCCUGUUACUCAGACAGGCUCCAGUUCCUUGGGUGAAUUGUGACAUCCAAGCUGCAGUUCCUUCAGGUGCUUUUCCCCACUUCUGGCGCUGUUCGGCUCCAUCACCUGCUGUGCAACAGGAGCAGAAGAAUGAGCAGAUUUGCCUCCAGCCUUGCUGCAGGCAGGUAAUUAUGUCAGGUGUUGCAUGCCAGUGCCAAGUUCUGCUGAAAACACUAUGUCUGACUGAGAUCCUCACUGUGGAGGCAUCAAAACCUGUUCUGCUGUGGCAAGGUGCACCUUGAACAGAGCUCCUCCCCCCUCCUUUGUCCAAGUGUUUUGCUGGAGAAUCUCUCCAGCUGUGAGCAGAGGCAGAGAUACAGGAUACGGGUCAACCAAAUGGUUCAACAUAUUUGAGGUGACGUGCAAGAAUUAUGGCAGUGCCUAGCAGAACAAAGCAGAGUGCAGAGGAGACAUGAGGCUUUUCAGAUCUACUGUAACUGUAGAUCAGUUACAGCCUAACCUGCAGCUCAUGCAUGGGACAAAUGCCAUGUUCCCAACUCCCUGCUGUAGGUUGCUGGCUGACAGAGGAGGGCUGGUGCUCUAGAAGAUUUUAAUUUCCCUCCCAGAAAAAUAAAAAAUCAGAAAAGUGA